GCUUGUCUCAAAGAUUAAGCCAUGCAUGUCUAAGUAUAAAUAAAUUUAUAUUGUGAAACUGCGAAUGGCUCAUUAAAUCAGUUAUGAUCUACGUGACAUAUUCUUUACUACUUGGAUAACCGUGGUAAUUCUAGAGCUAAUACAUGCAAAAAAACCCAGACUUACGAAUGGGUGCACUUAUUAGAUAAAGCCAACGCUGGGUAAAACCAGUUUCCCUUGGUGAUUCAUAAUAAUUAAGCGGAUCGCAUGGCCUUGUGCUAGCGACAGUCCACUCGAUUUUCUGCCCUAUCAUGGUUGAGAUUGUAAGAUAGAGGCUUACAAUGCCUACAACGGGUAACGGGGAAUUAGGGUUCGAUUCCGGAGAGGGAGCCUGAGAAACGGCUACCACAUCCAAGGAAGGCAGCAGG
Molecule: ribosomal RNA, 407 nt
Filed under: uncultured Mucor
Lineage: Eukaryota; Fungi; Mucoromycota; Mucoromycetes; Mucorales; Mucoraceae
Description: partial small subunit ribosomal RNA
Rfam family: Eukaryotic small subunit ribosomal RNA
Source: RNAcentral